UCUGUCUGAGAAACCCAUUGU
RNAcentral lists this non-coding RNA (21 nucleotides) under Caenorhabditis elegans. The record is from RNAcentral. Lineage: Eukaryota; Metazoa; Nematoda; Chromadorea; Rhabditida; Rhabditidae.